GACCUUAAUAAAGAUAAAAAGCUAAACAAUAAUACUGGCAGUUCAGAGAUAAAAGCUAACUGACCUUUGCUGUCCGUUAUUGCAGGAAAGAUUUGCUCAGAAAUCAGAGCAGCUCUGAUCCUCUGCCAGCCUUCACAAGUCCAUAUCACUGCACACUCACUCCAUCUCCGUCAGCAUUCGCGUUCAAGCAGUGUCACAUCGGUUUCGCCAGGCUAGUGCGGGUUAAUGAGAAACUGUGUGUGUAUGCAGGCACAUAUUCACAUGUUGGCUUUACAGGCCACAGCAACAAUCUUCAAACAUUGCUGAUUUGUAUCGAUAUGGACAAAAUGCAAACAAAACCUUUUGACUUCUCCAGUAGCAAGAAUGAGACAAAUUCAGUUCAAUUUUCUUUGUCUAGCACUUUUAAUAAUGUCACAAAGUAACUUUAUUGAAAUAUGGAUGGAGAUUUAGAACCCUAACAAGGAAUCCAGAUACGACAGUGACUACGUUUGAAUGCAUAUCAAUAUUUCGAUAUUAAUCUAAAUUUAGCAAUACUCUAAGUAGUAUUGAGUCAUGUAAACGCCACAGUCCGAUUGCCUGAUUGAGAUUAAGACAAUAUUCUGCAACACGAAUAUAGAGCUUACAUGGAAUUUGGGUAGGGUUAGGGUUAGGGUUUGGGUUAGGGGUUAGGGUUAGGGUUUGGGUUCGGGGUUAGGGUUAGGGGUUUGGGUUAGGGGUUAGGGUUAGGGGUUGGGUUCGGGGUUAGGGUUAGGGGUUAGGGUUAGGGGUCAGGGUUUGGGUUAGGGGUUUGGGUUAGGGUUUGGCUUAGGGGUUAGGGUUAGGGUUUGGGUUCGGGGUUAGGGUUAGGGGUUAGGGUUAGGGGUUAGGGUUUGGGUUUGGGGGUAGGGUUUGGGUUAGGGGUUUGGGUUAGGGGUUAGGGUUAGGGUUUGGGUUAGGGGUUAGGGUUAGGGGUUAGGGUUAGGGUUAGGAUUAGGGUUAUGGGCUAGUGUUAGGGUUAGGGUAGAGUUUAGGGGUUAGGGUUAUGGGUUAGGGUUAGGGUUAGGGGUGAAGGUUUGUGGUUAGGGUUAGGGUUAGAAUUAUCUCCCUGAGACGACACGAGGAAGAAAAGACGAAUCAAACAUAAAAGCGAACACAUCCUUUUCUGGGUCACAGCGGAUAGUGCUAUUAUAAAUCAUUACUCAUCUCCAGCUGCAUACUCUAAAG
This is a long non-coding RNA of Ictalurus punctatus (channel catfish), 1203 nucleotides long. Lineage: Eukaryota; Metazoa; Chordata; Actinopteri; Siluriformes; Ictaluridae. The record is from Ensembl.